Molecule: ribosomal RNA, 373 nt
Filed under: uncultured bacterium
Lineage: Bacteria
Description: bacterial SSU rRNA
Rfam family: Bacterial small subunit ribosomal RNA
Source: RNAcentral
ACGUAGGAGGCGAGCGUUAUCCGGAUUUACUGGGCGUAAAGCGUGUGCAGGCGGUUCGGUAAGUUGGAUGUGAAAGCUCCUGGCUCAACUAGGAGAGGUCGUUCAAUACUGCUGGACUUGAGGAUGGUAGAGGGAGGUGGAAUUCCGGGUGUAGUGGUGAAAUGCGUAGAUAUCCGGAGGAACACCAGUGGCGAAAGCGGCCUCCUGGACCAUUUCUGACGCUCAGACACGAAAGCUAGGGGAGCAAACGGGAUUAGAGACCCCGGUAGUCCUAGCUGUAAACUAUGUAGACUUGGCGUCGGUGGGUUUAAAUCCGUCGGUGCCGAAGCUAACGCGAUAAGUCUACCGCCUGGGGACUACGGCCGCAAGGUUA